CAGGUAUAACAGCCUGUCGCUCUUUAUUUUAAUGUAAAGGGAGGAAAGUCCGGACAACACAGAGCGCAACACUUCCUAACAGGAAGGGGUGCAGGUUGAAAAAUCUGCAUCACGGAAAGUGCAACAGAAAACAUACCGUCACGAUUUUAUCGGGAUAAGGGUGAAAUGGCGAGGUAAGAGCUCACCGGUGGCAGGGCGACCUGCCAGCCUGGCAAACCCUGUUGGUUGAAAGGCCAUGUAAACCGGAGUGUCUUUCCGAUUUUUCGGAACGAGAAGACUGCUCGUCUGAAUCUUCGGGGGGUAGGCCGAUUGAUUCCGGUGGUGACACCGGAACCAGAUAAAUGACAGGCAUUCCCGGCUUGUUCGGGUUACAGAAUCCGGCUUAUCGUUAUACCCUGCCGG
This 402-nucleotide RNase P RNA is filed under the name Sphingobacteriales bacterium. RNAcentral's name for it is "RNase P RNA component class A". It matches the Rfam family "Bacterial RNase P class A". From Rfam's summary of the family: Ribonuclease P (RNase P) is a ubiquitous endoribonuclease, found in archaea, bacteria and eukarya as well as chloroplasts and mitochondria. Its best characterised activity is the generation of mature 5'-ends of tRNAs by cleaving the 5'-leader elements of precursor-tRNAs. Cellular RNase Ps are ribonucleoproteins. The record is from RNAcentral. Lineage: Bacteria; Pseudomonadati; Bacteroidota; Sphingobacteriia; Sphingobacteriales.